GAAAGAUAAUCAAUUUUUGAAAUAAGAUUAUAAAAAGAAAUUGUAAAGAGGCCUCCUCGCGCGAUGUUUCUAGCGCUUCCGGUGCACGUAUUCACGUAUGGAGGACGAGGAUGUUCCAGAUUCGGUGCACUUAGAGAUUCGAAAGUCGGUUAGCAAUGUGAAAUUGAAAUUAAAAGGGAUCGGGUUUCAAAGGGGUCAUCGAGCGACGUCGGUUCACGAGGCUCGAUAAUCGAUUUACGUAAAGUCAAACUGCGAUCCUGGUGAACGAUAUCGUAUUGGAAAAUCGCGGCCGAUCGAUUAACGAUCUCGCUUUCUAUUUCCAAGAUGGGCAAAAAUAUUAGGCCCAUUCGUUAAAUCUAUCUAAUAAGGAAUUAUUCCGAUAUAUAAAGUCUUCCUUCCUCCGAUUCAUCGAGUUAUACGUUACAAGGCUUGUGCCUUGAAAAGGAUCUUUUCGAAUUAUAUUAACGAAAUCGUGUCAAUAGGGCACAAUUUACUACUUUUUCUAUAUUUCAUAUCAUUCCCGACAAUUUAUGCUCGAAAUUAGCCGAUCAUAUUUUCCCGAACUUCGCGACUUCAACUUGUUUCGUCGUAGUCUCCUCGUUUCAAAACUUCCAUCUUAAAUGUCGUAAAAUGAAGUUUCAACGCCUCGAAUAAACUUCGCUUUACGAUAUCGUCCUCGUGUUGUUUUCAUUAUAUAAAUCUCCCCCCUUCCUCCCUUAAAUCACAUCGAACAAUAUUCCCUCUCGUCCCUGCGAUCGCACAAAUAGCGAUCCUCACCUCGACUUCGUAAACUCGUUUGCAUAUUUUGUCCCCGUUCUACGUGGCGCCGUCGUAUCGGUUCACCUAAUUCUCCAAAUUCUGAGGUCGAAUAAUCCCCAACCAACCGAUGAUCGAUAUUUAUCCCUUAAUAUACCUGUCAGUGAAACUAAUUACACCGUCUACGUGCCACCCGCCAGUAAGUCGGGAAUUUUUGGCCGGGGUGGCCGCGCAACCUCGGCCAAGAAAUCUAUCAAAGUCAAGUUCUUUGCGGAAUCCGCUGAUUCCUCGUCAGGCGUCUGCUCGCUAAUGCGGUUACCGCAUAUAUACGAAUCAUCCUUCGUUUCCCCGUAUCGAGGUUCCUCCUCUGGUCCUAAGUUUAUCCAAUUUCCUCCCCCUCCAAUUUUUUAGCGAAUUGAGGGGGAAAUGCACGAGGUGUUAGGAAAAUAUCGACGAUUUUUUGGAUUUACGAAGGUUGAAAGUGCGGAGCAAAUUUUUAGGAAAAGAUUAAAAAAUACGAUGCAACGCGAGAAGAAUAAACAUUUAUCGUUUCGAUUUAACAGAGAGAAUAAAAUUCGUUCCCACGGUCUUCGAAGUACAACAAUAAACGUACGUUUAUCACGUGUUAAAUUCAUUGAGUACAAAACAUUGUUUAUAUACAUUUCCACCGAUAUAUACCAAUUCCCCCCGUCCAUAUGAGUCACGUAUAUCGAAUACGGACUACGCGUGUAAACAAAGUCGAGUAAAGUGUAUCGUUCAGUGUCUCGCCGAAUUUCUAACCGCUCGCGUGCUCCUGCUCGCUUUCCCCGUGGAAGAAUUCUUAUAAUCGCGUUUCCGGUCGUGUCGUGCGAUCAAGAUGGAGGAAAAGGAUUGACGGAGAGGAGAGGAAGGCGGCGAGCGUGUUAACGAAAGUGAAUCCCGUUUCUUCCGUUGCUGAGGAACCAACCUGGUCAGGCUUGAAAAUCUAACGGUGUCCCGUGUUAACGGUGGUCCAUCCAUGGAUCGUGCGAAGGCGUUACGAAGAAGAUCGGAGGAAGGAGCGAUCGAAGGCAGACAUCGAGAACGUCGAUGAUAUUCUUCGCAGCGGAGAUCAUCUUCGAUGUCGCUGUUCCGUUAAAUAUAGUGAAGUCGCGGUGUUAAAGUGUUGCUUGGUUAUACGUUUCCAUUUCUUUCUUUUGUCAUUUUUGCACGUGGGCUUCCGUUCGAUUUGGGUUGAAGAUUGGACGUCGUUUCUUGUAACUCGCAAUUUUUAUUCGCUUCUCAAUCUUCGUUUACACGAUGCACGAUUAAAAUGAGGCUCGUUCGUAUCGAGAUACGGGGAUUGAGAAAUAAAUAAUCACUCGGGAUCAGUUGUAGCGUUAUCGUGUAAUAAGGAACAAUGGUAUACACGAGUAAUUAAAGCACAAUUAAAAUAAUUAAAAUAGUGGAAUUUGUAAGUAAAUAAGUAAGUAAUGGGAACAGAUUAAAACAUUAUAAGUAAUUACAAGUAAGAUUUCAAAAAUGUGAAAAUUAACUUUUGCGUUUAACGUGUUGCUUUAUAUAUAUAAAAAAAAAAAAUUAACUCCGAGACUAAUUAAUUUUGAUUUCCAAACGGGAUAAUCGAUGCCGGAGAAACGUUGCACUUUCGAAUAAUAGAAUAAAAUUUUCGAUUCUAGGCUUUAAUUAAUCCGGUGUAUACCGAUGAUUCAUUUUUGACAAAUUUUUUUUUCUUCUUUUUAUUUCUCGGAUACAACAACAAGAUAUAUCCCAGAUCGUCGAACAAACGUGAUAUAUACAUAUAUAUAUUCAUCCCUUAAUGCGCGAGCGGAAUACAGCUGCGCGACAUUUCAACCUUUAUUUUCUCCCUUUCAAAAUUUGUCUCCGUUCGAUUCGGAAAUAGAUUAAAAAAUAGCGUGAAAUCGGUGCGGCCUAGUUUCUCGAUACGAGCUAGCCCAAGUAAACACAACGGAUUAUACAUCGUUACUCCCCAUCCAAGGGGGCCAGGGAAAACGUUUCCAAUCAGGAGUCAAUUACAGGCCAAUGAUGUCAUAGUCAUUAUUAGUGGUGCAAUUGCGCGGAAUGUCGGCCACUAAGUUAUGAAACUGCAAGAAUCUAUUCGCCGCCACGCGGUGGCCUGUAAUGUGGUACACUUUCUCCCGGGCAAGAUAAAUAUCUUGCGUGUGUAUGUGAGACGCCGGUGUUCUCUUUUAAAACGCGACUAUUUGCCAACGCUCGAUCGGGCUCCCAACGCGAAAACUCGAGCAACAGAAACUCUAGCCUCUUGUAUAACGAGAGGAUUUCCAUUUCUUUCCCCCUCUCUUUAUUGAUUUAUUGAAAUAUUUGUCGUUCCGUUUUUCUUCUUUCUUUUUUUUCCUUCUUUUUUAUCCCUGUUUCUCUGUUUGUCUCUUCCACCUAUUACUUUCUUCUCUCUUCUUUUUUUAUUUUUUUUCGAAUAAAGGGGAAGGGGAAAGAUUAGCGUCGGUGAAUCCGGGAUAGAUUUUUCUCGAUAAAAUAUAUGGGAAUUCGAUCGACACUCGCGGGUUAUUUGUUCUCCAAGCAUUCGAUAUAUAUGUAUAGAGAGAGAGAGAGCACGUUUGCUCGAUGAUACGGGCGUUUCGCUCGGAAUGUCAUGGAUUAUACUAUCAGAAACUAUCAUUUCGUGGAUUGUUCACGAUGGUUUGAUCUAUCGUUUACGCGUUCUAUUUUUUUCCCCUUCCCCUAUCUUCGGUGCGAUUGAUUAAAUCGAUCGAUACGUUUAGAUAAUAUUUUUUUAAAUAAAUAUCUGUAAAUA
Long non-coding RNA from Apis cerana (Asiatic honeybee), 3526 nucleotides. RefSeq lists it as uncharacterized. The record is from RefSeq and is a predicted model, not a curated record. Lineage: Eukaryota; Metazoa; Arthropoda; Insecta; Hymenoptera; Apidae.